RNAcentral lists this ribosomal RNA (433 nucleotides) under uncultured bacterium. RNAcentral describes it as "partial 16S ribosomal RNA". It matches the Rfam family "Bacterial small subunit ribosomal RNA", at positions 29 to 507 of the family's 1533-position model. The record is from RNAcentral.
AACGAACGCUGGCGGCAUGCCUAACACAUGCACGUCGAACGAGACCUUCGGGUCUAGUGGCGCACGGGUCCGUCACGCGUGGCAACCUGCCCUUAGGUUCUGCAUAACUCCCCGAAAGGGGUUCUAAUACCGGAUAAUGUCUUCGGACCAAAGAUUAAUCGCCUUUGGAUGGGCCCGCGUUGGAUUAGCUAGUUGGUAGGGUAAAAGCCUACCAAGGCGACGAUCCAUAGCUGGUCUGAGAGGAUGAUCAGCCACACUGGGACUGAGACACGGCCCAGACUCGUACGGGAGGCAGCAGGGGGGAAUAUUAGACAAGGGGCGAAAGCUUGAGCCAGCCAUGCCGAGUGAGUGAUGAAGGCCUUAGGGUUGUAAAGCUCUCUUACCCGGGAUGAUAAUGACAGUACCGGGAGAAUAAGCUCCGGCUAACUCCGUG